Molecule: ribosomal RNA, 303 nt
Filed under: uncultured bacterium
Lineage: Bacteria
Description: partial 16S ribosomal RNA
Rfam family: Bacterial small subunit ribosomal RNA
Source: RNAcentral
AGCAGUAGCCGCGGUAAUACGGAGGGGGCUAGCGUUGUUCGGAAUUACUGGGCGUAAAGCGUGCGUAGGCGGUUUGUUAAGUCUGUUGUGAAAUCCCCGGGCUCAACCUGGGGGCUGCGCUUGAUACUUGGUUGCUUGAGUGGGGAAGAGGGUCGUGGAAUUCCCAGUGUAGAGGUGAAAUUCGUAGAUAUUGGGAAGAGCACCGGUGGCGAAGGCGGCGACCUGGUCCUUGACUGACGCUGAGGCGCGAAAGCGUGGGGAGCAAACAGGAUUAGAGACCCGUGUAGUCCCUGUCUCUUAUAA